RNAcentral lists this ribosomal RNA (324 nucleotides) under uncultured Enterobacteriaceae bacterium. RNAcentral's name for it is "bacterial SSU rRNA". It matches the Rfam family "Bacterial small subunit ribosomal RNA", at positions 355 to 661 of the family's 1533-position model. Lineage: Bacteria; Pseudomonadati; Pseudomonadota; Gammaproteobacteria; Enterobacterales; Enterobacteriaceae. The record is from RNAcentral.
UGGGGAAUAUUGCACAAUGGGCGCAAGCCUGAUGCAGCCAUGCCGCGUGUAUGAAGAAGGCCUUCGGGUUGUAAAGUACUUUCAGCGAGGAGGAAGGCAUUGUGGUUAAUAACCACAGUGAUUGACGUUACUCGCAGAAGAAGCACCGGCUAACUCCGUGCCAGCAGCCGCGGUAAUACGGAGGGUGCAAGCGUUAAUCGGAAUUACUGGGCGUAAAGCGCACGCAGGCGGUUGAUUAAGUCAGAUGUGAAAAUCCCCGACGCGCUUUAAACUUUGGGGAAACUGCAUUUGAAAACUGGUCAGCUAGAGUCUUGUAGAGGGGGU